Molecule: RNase P RNA, 393 nt
Filed under: Rhizobium sp. TH2
Lineage: Bacteria; Pseudomonadati; Pseudomonadota; Alphaproteobacteria; Hyphomicrobiales; Rhizobiaceae
Description: RNase P RNA component class A
Rfam family: Bacterial RNase P class A
About the family: Ribonuclease P (RNase P) is a ubiquitous endoribonuclease, found in archaea, bacteria and eukarya as well as chloroplasts and mitochondria.
Source: RNAcentral
CCAGUUGGCUGGGCAGCCGCGCUUUGCAAAUGCCGAAAGGCUGUGAGGUGAGGAAAGUCCGGGCUCCACGGAAAUACGGCGCCGGAUAACAUCCGGCGGGGGCGACCCCAGGGAAAGUGCCACAGAAAAUAUUCCACCCGGUUUACCGGGUAAGGGUGAAAAGGUGGGGUAAGAGCCCACCGCGGAUCCGGCAACGGAAACGGCAUGGCAAACCCCGCCGGGAGCAAGACCGAAUAGGGAUGACACGUAUGCUUCGGCAUGCAGGGCCGUUUCCGGCCUCGUCAUCCGGGUGGGUUGCGUGAGGCGGCGUGCGAGCGUCGUCCCAGAUGAAUGGCUGCCACGUUCCGGGCGACCGGAGCCAUACAGAACCCGGCUUACAGGCCAACUGGCGUU